AACGCUGGCGGCGUGCCUAAGACAUGCAAGUCGUGCGGGCCGCGGGGUUUUACUCCGUGGUCAGCGGCGGACGGGUGAGUAACGCGUGGGUGACCUACCCGGAAGAGGGGGACAACCCGGGGAAACUCGGGCUAAUCCCCCAUGUGGACCCGCCCCUUGGGGUGUGUCCAAAGGGCUUUGCCCGCUUCCGGAUGGGCCCGCGUCCCAUCAGCUAGUUGGUGGGGUAAUGGCCCACCAAGGCGACGACGGGUAGCCGGUCUGAGAGGAUGGCCGGCCACAGGGGCACUGAGACACGGGCCCCACUCC
RNAcentral lists this ribosomal RNA (306 nucleotides) under unidentified marine bacterioplankton. RNAcentral's name for it is "bacterial SSU rRNA". It matches the Rfam family "Bacterial small subunit ribosomal RNA", at positions 32 to 339 of the family's 1533-position model. The record is from RNAcentral.